Molecule: non-coding RNA, 47 nt
Organism: Sporocytophaga myxococcoides
Lineage: Bacteria; Pseudomonadati; Bacteroidota; Cytophagia; Cytophagales; Cytophagaceae
Source: Rfam
GUUGUGAUUUGCUUUCAAACAACGAUCUUUGAAUUAUUGGAAACAAC